GCGAGAAUGGUGUAGGGGUAACAUAGCGGCUUCCCAUGCCGCUGCUCCGGGUUCGAGUCCCGGUUCUCGCA
Molecule: transfer RNA, 71 nt
Organism: Colletotrichum gloeosporioides Cg-14
Lineage: Eukaryota; Fungi; Ascomycota; Sordariomycetes; Glomerellales; Glomerellaceae
Rfam family: tRNA
About the family: Transfer RNA (tRNA) molecules are approximately 80 nucleotides in length. Their secondary structure includes four short double-helical elements and three loops (D, anti-codon, and T loops).
Source: Rfam